RNAcentral lists this transfer RNA (95 nucleotides) under Desulfovibrio sp. Its description in RNAcentral is "tRNA-Ser". It matches the Rfam family "tRNA". From Rfam's summary of the family: Transfer RNA (tRNA) molecules are approximately 80 nucleotides in length. Their secondary structure includes four short double-helical elements and three loops (D, anti-codon, and T loops). Lineage: Bacteria; Pseudomonadati; Thermodesulfobacteriota; Desulfovibrionia; Desulfovibrionales; Desulfovibrionaceae. RNAcentral also lists the same sequence under 2 other names. The record is from RNAcentral.
GGAGAGGUGUCCGAGUCGGCUGAAGGAGCUCGCCUGCUAAGCGAGUAUACGGGCUUAAACCUGUAUCCAGGGUUCAAAUCCCUGCCUCUCCGCCA